Long non-coding RNA from Silurus meridionalis, 496 nucleotides. RefSeq lists it as uncharacterized. Lineage: Eukaryota; Metazoa; Chordata; Actinopteri; Siluriformes; Siluridae. The transcript has 3 exons. The record is from RefSeq and is a predicted model, not a curated record.
UGGAAAUCGAGAGAGGCAGAGGAAGAGCUUCUGUGUUCUCUGGCGUCUCGGCUGCACUGCCGAUGAGAUUCCCCUGUAGUCAGCGUCUCUACGGGCUCGGUUUACGGCUGGAUGUCUUCAUGCCUCCCAUCCAGUGUUCCCAGGAUAGGCUCUGGAUUCAUUGAAAAAACUAACACAGUGACUGAAAUGCCAUUUUUCUCCAGACUUGGCAGAAGAAUAAAGCUACAGCAGCGUUCACACUCGGAAACAGCCGGUGGGCCGGAGAACAGAAUAGAUUACAAUUACAGACAUUUAGUAGAGAUAUUGGCAAAGAGUUGAACUUGGCUCUCUGAGUCUUUUGGGAUUUAAACUCAAUUCUUUUUGACAAGAAUAAAGAAAACCUUUAACCCAUUUGAAGUCCUGAUCAUUGGAAACUAAAUGCUUUGGCAUAUUUUUGCUAUUUAUUUUUUACUGUAUUAACACCAUCAUGUGUUUGCUUCAAAAACCUGAAAUAAAA